RNAcentral lists this long non-coding RNA (315 nucleotides) under Linum usitatissimum (flax). Its description in RNAcentral is "long non-coding RNA (LUSI_LNC003852)". The record is from RNAcentral. Lineage: Eukaryota; Viridiplantae; Streptophyta; Magnoliopsida; Malpighiales; Linaceae.
GACGUUGAUAUUUCUCGAGAUUCAUUUGGUUGUUGGGACUUCAAACCCCCUUCGGCCAAAUUGAUCAAAAGGUAACGACUAGGUUUGAUGCCUUAGCCAAUACCUCUGGACCAUGAGCUUUUACUAGAACCACACUGUCCAUGGCCAUUCCUUUGGAUUCGACCACCUUCCUCUCUUACUUAACUUAGUUGCGCAGUUCUGUUGUACCAAAGCCCAAUUUUGUUAUGAUCACAGAUGGAGCUGGAAUGAUGUGUGCACCACGAUUAUUAAAGAGGCAUGGGAGAGGAAUGGCAGCUCCACCGAAGCAGUCUUCAA